Molecule: long non-coding RNA, 1962 nt
Organism: Ictalurus punctatus (channel catfish)
Lineage: Eukaryota; Metazoa; Chordata; Actinopteri; Siluriformes; Ictaluridae
Source: Ensembl
CUGACCUUCACAGCUGUUCUGCUCCAAACGAAAUGGAUGGCCAAGCUCCAAACAAUCUGUACUUCACCAGUCCAUUCUGCACUUAUUGACUUUAAGGUUGUGAAUCAUAUUUAGGCAUUUAGUGGAACAUGGCAUGGCACUCAACACACACACACACACACACACACAUGGCUCAACAAAAUGAAAAAAGACGUCUUUUUUUGAGUAUUAUUAUGAUUGUAGUCAUUACCAGCGAAUAAUACGCUUCAGUGUAUUCGAGUGGCCACUUACAGCGCUCGCUGUGUGAGCAUUUAUGUUCAGAUUUGUCUGAACAGAACAGGAUGUUGCAAAACAUUCAGGCGCCUCUCAACACUCAGCAUGAACCAAAUGCAAACUCUUAGUGGUUUGUUACGAAACUCAUGCUGCACUUGGCAUAUCUGGCAGAGAGAAGGGGCGCUGCAAAAAUGAAACUAAACAUUAAUUGGGGCUUUUUCCUACUAAUUAGCUGUAGAGGGUAUAAUUGCAAUGGCAGUUCAUAUACAGUUAGUUGUGCUGCUCUGAUCAUGUGCAGAUUGUGAAGUCGCAGUAGUGCAGUAGCCAGAAAAACAUUGGCUAUGUUUCAAAAACUGAAUCAGAGUCCGAAUCAGGAUGAUGUUUUAUUGGCCAAAUACAUUUACGCAUGUAUAAGUCUAUGUAAAUAUGACCAAUGGCCAAAUUUCUGGAGUUUAGCAGAGUUUAGCGUUCUUUAUCGUGCAGUCAUUGGUGUAGACGGAGAAGACCAAUGGGGAAAGCAUGCAUCCAUGAGACUUACUGGCAAUACUGAUGGACAGGGUUCCAGAUUUGAGUUCCCCAAGCCAACAUCAUACUAAUCAGAAAGUUGGAGAUCCAGCGAAAGGUGGAGGAAGGUGCGGUAAAAUCGGAAGUUUUAAAGUGUACUGUACACUGUAGUUCAUCUAUUGUCACUACAAUAGUAGUCGGUACACAGUGUUUGGACGCACACCGAUUACAUCGCUUGCUGACUGACGGGAAGAUUGAGGCGAGCUGACUGACGGGAAGAGUGAGGCGAGCUGACUGACGGGAAGAUGGAGGCGAGCUGACUGAAGGGAAGAGUGAGAUGAGCCGACUGACAGGAAGAGUGAAGCGAUCUGACUGACGGGAAGAGUGAAGCGAUCUGACUGACGGGAAGAGUGAAGCGAUCUGACUGACGGGAAGAGUGAAGCGAUCUGACUGACGGGAAGAGUGAAGCGAUCUGACUGACGGGAAGAGUGAAGCGAGCUGACUGACGGGAAGAGUGAAGCGAUCUGACUGACGGGAAGAGUGAAGCGAUCUGACUGACGGGAAGAAUGAGAUGAGCCGACUGACAGGAAGAGUGAAGCGAUCUGACUGACGGGAAGAAUGAGAUGAGCCGACUGACAGGAAGAGUGAAGUGAUCUGACUGACGGGAAGAGUGAAGCGAUCUGACUGACGGGAAGAGUGAAGCGAUCUGACUGACGGGAAGAGUGAAGCGAUCUGACUGACGGGAAGAGUGAAGCGAUCUGACUGACAGGAAGAGUGAAGCGAUCUGACUGACGGGAAGAGUGAAGCGAUCUGACUGACAGGAAGAGUGAAGCGAUCUGACUGACGGGAAGAAUGAGAUGAGCCGACUGACAGGAAGAGUGAGGUGAGUUUGUCAUUGUACGGCUUUGUUGUUGUUUGUCGUUCCUUUCAUUAAGAAUAAUAAUGAACCAGGGACAUGCAGAGAGUUCCUCAGGGACAGGGGUUCAAAUGUGAAAACAAGGGCUAUAUCACCAAAGAGCUAAUUUGCCUACUUUACUACUUUAACUACGUUAAUACUUUAUUAACUUUUAUUUAACUACAUUUAAAUUUAAAUUGAUUCAUAUAGCAGAAGCUUUUCUCCAAAGCGACUUACAUAUCCUUAUCCCCUGGUUGACAUUGUAAACAGACUGUGUGUGGUCACAAUAAUGAAUAUGAGAAUGACACUAC